AGUGUAGCUCAGUGGUAGAGCACUUACCUCACAAGUAUGAGGUCAUGGGUUUGGUCCCUACCACU
Molecule: transfer RNA, 65 nt
Filed under: Fukomys damarensis (Damara mole-rat)
Lineage: Eukaryota; Metazoa; Chordata; Mammalia; Rodentia; Bathyergidae
Rfam family: tRNA
About the family: Transfer RNA (tRNA) molecules are approximately 80 nucleotides in length. Their secondary structure includes four short double-helical elements and three loops (D, anti-codon, and T loops). Further hydrogen bonds mediate the characteristic L-shaped molecular structure. tRNAs have two regions of fundamental functional importance: the anti-codon, which is responsible for specific mRNA codon recognition, and the 3' end, to which the tRNAs corresponding amino acid is attached (by aminoacyl-tRNA synthetases). tRNAs cope with the degeneracy of the genetic code in two manners: having more than one tRNA (with a specific anti-codon) for a particular amino acid; and 'wobble' base-pairing, i.e. permitting non-standard base-pairing at the 3rd anti-codon position.
Source: Rfam by way of RNAcentral